AGGGCACAUUGUGGAUGCCUAGGCGUUAAGAGGCGAUGAAGGACGUAGCAUGGCUGCGAUAAGCUUCGGUAAGUUGCCAAGCAAACUUUUAGAUCCGAAGAUUUCCGAAUGGGGAAACCUAGCAGCGUAAACCGCUGUUGCGCGAAAGCGAGCAAACCGGGGGAAGUGAAACAUCUCAGUACCCCGAGGAAAAGAAAUCAACCGAGAUACCCUUAGUAGCGGUGAGCGAAACGGGAAUAGCCCAAACCAUAUGAACUUCGGUUCACAUGGGGUUGUAGGGCAUGCAAUAAAACUGACCACGACGAGUAGUCGAACUCUUCAUGAAUGUUGGGCCAUAGAGGGUGAAAGCCCCGUAGGCGAAACUUGAAGUGGCGGUGAGCAUGUUCCUGAGUACAACGGGACACGUGGAAUCCUGUUGGAACCUGGGUGGACCAUCAUCCAAGGCUAAACACUACUUAACGACCGAUAGUGAACUAGUACUGUGAAGGAAAGGUGAAAAGAA
RNAcentral lists this ribosomal RNA (502 nucleotides) under uncultured bacterium. RNAcentral's name for it is "bacterial LSU rRNA". It matches the Rfam family "Bacterial large subunit ribosomal RNA", at positions 14 to 523 of the family's 2925-position model. The record is from RNAcentral.